AUGAAGGGGUGGGCCUGGAGCGCCGGCUCGCUCCUCCAAGGCCGGAGAUCUGCCCCUCGCGACUUCUGGCAUUAACAGCUAGAGGUCGGAGGGGAAUAGGGUGGCAGAUGCUCCAACUCCAGUACCCCUCCACCUGGGAUCCCUUUGCAAAAUUUUCAUACUCAAGCUCCGUGAGGGCCCCCCACUUCCAAUUUGCCACAAAAAGUGUUCAUUUCUACCUUUAUCAGCCGGCUCCCCGGGAUCCUGCCACAUGCCCAUCAGGCCUCCCCACUUUCCAGGUCGCCCUGCACCUCUUAUAAGUUCUCUUAGGCGUCCAUCCACUGCCCUUCCACCCAGUCCAUCUAGCUUGGCCUUUCUGUGCACAUCCUCACUUUAGGCCCCCAGCUUGCCUCUCUUCCUCUUUCUCUUCCCCUCCCCGUGUCCUGCAGAUAGGGAUCACCAUGUCCUCCGAGAUCCUUCAGCUUCUCCAGUCUUACCUUUGUGUCCUCAUCCCCAUCAGCCCUUCUUGUAUGUCCCUCCCACAAAUACACUUGCAUUUAUUUGUCGUCUCCUCCCUAUAGCUCCCCCACCCGACUCUUCUCAAACCAUCUCUCUAGCUUCCUCUGCAAGAAUGAGAUGUCUUACAGACAUGGGAAUCGCCACUUUCAGGUUUUCUGUUAAAUGCCGCCCCCAGCCAGCCCUCCCAGUCGCAGGAGGCGCUGUCCGCUUUCCUAUCGCCUGCCACAGAGAUGGAUGCACCCGCUUUGGAAUCUGAUGUGGGAGGAAGGGGCAGGUCGAGGCUCCGGCUCGGGUUUAAGAAGCUAGUCGGUCCGGGCCAGGGGGAGCCUAGGCGAAGGGUUGUAGAGACUGCCCUCCUACUCGUCAGUUAGAAUAGUGCAGGGGCUGCUAGUCAAGACCUCUCUGGAGGCACGUGACUGAAAAGGUCCUUCCCUCUUCUCUCCCCGAGCAAGGUGUUCCGUUCCCAACCCCAGAACUGGCGGUAUCCCGGUCUCGCGGGCGUGAGGUGCCAGCGGAUCCGCCCCGAGGUUCAUGGAGGCGCCGGUCCGCCUGGGCCGGAAACGCCCGCUGCCGGUUUGCCCCAAUCCGCUCUUUGUACGCUGGCUGACCGAGUGGCGGGACGAGGCAGCCAGCAGGGGGCGCCGCACGCGCUUCGUGUUUCAGAAGGCACUGCGCUCCCUCCGGCGGUACCCGCUGCCCCUGCACAGCGGGAAGGAAGCUAAGAUCCUCCAGCACUUUGGAGACGGGCUCUGCCGAAUGCUGGAUGAGCGACUACAGCAGCACCAAGCCUCGGGUGGUGAUCAUGCCCCUGGCUCACUAUCUGGAGAGAAGAGCCCAGCCCAGGACUCUCCCAUGCCAGUGAGGAGGAGCAAGGUUCCUGCCCAGCGCCAAACAGGAGGCUCUAGUGGCUAUUUGCCACCUCGAAACUCAGGAGCCCGAGUGGUCCUGCUGCAACUCUACUGGCAGCACCUGGAUUCUGAUGGUCAUAGCUUCCUAACCAAGGAGGAGCUGCUACAGAGGUGUGCCAAGAAGGACCCCAGGAUAGACCCCAGGAGUUCUCAACCCUGGCCAGCCCUUCGUUCCCUCCUGCACAGAAACCUGGUCCUCAGGACACACCAGCCAGUCAGGUACUCGCUGACCCCAGAGGGCCUGGAGCUGGCCCAGAAGUUGGCUGAGUCAGAAAGCCUGAGCUUGCUGAAUGUGGGCACUGGGCCCAAGGAGCCCCCUGGGGAGGAGCCAGCACUGCCAGGAGCAGCCUUGGCUGAGCUUGGCGCCAGUGAAGGGGGUGUCCAGCAGCCGACUCUAGAGCUGGGGCCUGCAGAGUACAGGGUGCUGUUGUGUGUGGACAUUGGUGAGACCAGGGGGGUGGGACACAGGCCAGAGCUGCUCCGAGAGCUACAGCGCCUGCAUGUGAACCACGUGGUGCGCAAGCUACACAUUGGGGACUUUGUGUGGGUAGCACAGGAGACCAGGCCCAGAGACUCAGCAAGACCUGCAGAGUUAGUGCUGGACCACAUCGUGGAGCGCAAGCGGCUGGACGACUUAUGUAGCAGCAUCAUCGACGGCCGCUUCCGGGAACAGAAGGUCUCUUCAGUGUUCCGACUGAAGCGCUGUGGCCUGGGGCGCCGGGUAUACCUGGUGGAAGAACAUGGCUCAGUCCACAACCUUAGCCUCCCUGAGAGCACACUGCUGCAGGCUGUCACCAACACCCAGGUCAUCGAUGGCUUCUUUGUGAAGCGCACAGCAGACAUUAAGGAGUCGGCUGCCUACCUAGCCCUUCUGACACGGGGCCUGGAGAGACUAUACCAGGGCCACACCCUACACAGCCGCCCCUGGGGAAGCCCAGGGGACCCUGAAUCAGGAACCAGGCCCUCCCCAAACCCUCUCUGCUCACUUCUCACCUUCAGUGACUUCAACUCUGGAGCCAUCAAGAACAAGGCCCAGUCUGUUCGAGAGGUGUUUGCCCGGCAGCUGAUGCAGGUGGGUGGAGUGAGUGGGGAGAAGGCAGCAGCCCUGGUGGAUCGAUACAGCACCCCUGCCAGAAGGAAGGGCAGAAAGGAUGAAGCAGGGCCUCAAAUGCCGGAAGUGUGCAGCCUCCUGAGCCCUCUGUCCCAGGCUGACCCCCUCCUGCCUCAGCUCCCACAGCUGGCCUAGAUGGUCCGCCAUUUUAUUCCCCACUCCCAGCCUCCUGGCCGCUUAUGAUGCCUGUGCCACCCCCAAGGAACAGGAGAUGCUGCUAAGCACCAUCAAGUGUGGGCGUCUGCAGAGGAAUCUGGGGCCAGCUCUAAGCAGGACCUUGUCCCAGCUCUACUGCAGCUACAGCCCCCUGACCUGAGCUAUACUACAAAACAGAUCCCAACCCCCUUAACACCCCCUCCCAGGC
Heterocephalus glaber (naked mole-rat) is the source of this 2881-nucleotide non-coding RNA. The record is from RefSeq and is a predicted model, not a curated record. Lineage: Eukaryota; Metazoa; Chordata; Mammalia; Rodentia; Bathyergidae.